Homo sapiens (human) is the source of this 1798-nucleotide long non-coding RNA. Lineage: Eukaryota; Metazoa; Chordata; Mammalia; Primates; Hominidae. The record is from Ensembl.
GCUUUCUUUUCUUCCUCUGGAGCAGUUAUGGCGGCGGCGAAGACCCUGAACCCCAAGGCCAAGGUGGCCGGAGCGCAGGCGGCGCUGGCGUUCAACAUUAGCGGGGCGCGGGGUCUGCAGGACGUGCUGAGGACCAACCUGGGGCCCAAAGGGACCAUAAAGAUUCUUGUUUCUGGCGCUGGAGACAUCAAGCUUACUAAAGACACAGGAGUUGACGAUCAGCCCUGGCCAACAUGGUGAAACUCAGUCUCUACUAAAAAUACAAAAAUUAGCCGGGCACGGUCCUGCACAGUGCGCUGCUUCACGAAAUGCAAAUUCAACACCCAACAGCUUCCUUAAUAGCAAAGGUAGCAACAGCCCAGGAUGAUAUAACUGGUGAUGGUACGACUUCCAAUGUCCUAAUCAUUGGAGAGCUGCUGAAACAGGCAGAUCUCUACAUUUCUGAAGGCCUUCAUCCCAGAAUAAUCACUGAAGGAUUUGAAGCUGUGAAGGAAAAGCCCUUCAUUUUUUGGAAGAAGUCAAAGUAAGCAGAGAGAUGGACAAGGAAACACUUAAAGAUGUGGCCAGGGCAUCUCUUUGUACUAAAGUUCAUGCUGAACUUGCAGAUGUCUUAACAGAGGCUGUAGUGGGCUCCAUUUUGGCCAUUAAAAGAAAAGAUGAACCUAUUGAUCUCUUCAUGAUUUUGUGAUCAUUGACAAGAAACAUAAAUCUGAAACUGAUACAAGAGAAGUGAAUUCUGGCGUUUUUUACAAGAGUGCAGAAAGAGAAAAACUCAUAAAAGCUGAAAGAAAAUUCAUUGAAGAUAGAGUUAAAACAAAUAAUAGAACUGAAAAGGAAAGUCUGUAGUAAUUCAGAUAAAGGAUUUGUUAUUAAUCAAAAGGGAAUUGACCCCUUUUCCUUAGAUGCUCUUUCAAAGAAGGCAUAGUCGCUCUUCACAGAGCUAAAAGGAGGAAUAUGGAGAGGCUGACUCUUGCUUGUGGUGGGGUGGCCCUGAAUUCUUUUGAGGACCUAAGUCCUGACUGCUUGAGACAUGCAGGACUUGUAUAUGAGUAUACAUUGGGAGAAGUUCACCUUUAUUGAGAAGUGUAACAACCCUCGUUCUGUCACAUUAUUGAUCAAAGGACCAAAUAAGCCCACACUUAGAUCAAAGAUGCAGUAAGGGAUGGCUUGAGGGCUGUCAAAAAUGCUAUUGAUGAUGGCUGUGUGGUUCCGGUGCUGGUGCCGUGGAAGUGGCAAUGGCAGAAGCCCUGAAUAAAUAUAAGCUCAGUGUAAAGGGCAAGGCACAGCUUGGAGUCCAAGCAUUUGCUGAUGUGUUGCUCGUUAUUCCCAAGGUGAGCCCGUGGUAGCAGCAGAAGCAGGCAUUAUGGGAUAACGAUUGUGUAAAGAAACAGCUUCUUCAUUCCUGCACUGGUUGCCACCAACAUUCUCUUGGUUGAUGAGAUCAUGCGAGCUGGAAUCUUCUCUGAAAGGUUGAAUUGAAGCUUCCUCUGUAUCUGAGUCUUGAAGACUCUGCAAAGUGAUCCUGAAGAAUACAGCUGUGGAAUUUUUGUCCAAGCUUCAAAUGAGUUUCAAGGGAAUUUUCCCAUGUGAAAAAAGGAGAGAACACUGGCAUCUGUUGAAAUUCGGAAGUUCUGAAAUUAUAAUCACAGUAUUUUUUAAAAAUUGCACUGAAGUGUACACAGAUAAAGCAGGUCUUUCACCCAGUGAACAGGAUGUUUUGCUUUAGCAGCAGUGACAUAAAAUUCCAUGUUAAAUAAGCAUAUAUUACCUACCUUAUUAAAUAUUCCUUGAAAAAGCA